UCUUAAAAGCCUAAGUAGUGUUUC
This 24-nucleotide non-coding RNA is filed under the name Arabidopsis thaliana (thale cress). Lineage: Eukaryota; Viridiplantae; Streptophyta; Magnoliopsida; Brassicales; Brassicaceae. The record is from RNAcentral.